GUCAGGUGCAGUGGUGUUUACCUGUAAUCUCAGCACUCAGGAGGCCGAGGCAGGAGAAUCGCCUGAGUCCAAGAGUUCAAGACCAAUGUGGGCAACUUAGCAAGACCCUGUCUCAA
RNAcentral lists this small RNA (116 nucleotides) under Marmota monax (woodchuck). The record is from RNAcentral. Lineage: Eukaryota; Metazoa; Chordata; Mammalia; Rodentia; Sciuridae.